GAUUUUUAUACCUUGGUAUUAAAAAAAAAUGUUAGCCAAGGUUUUGAACACAGUAAAAGUGAAUCAUUAAAUUUGUCAAAAAAGGAAAAAUGCUACUUUAGCUUUAUGAACAAGAUACUACUCAGAGUCAAUGAGUUAUUAUCCAGCAAUAUUCCAUAAAAAAUGUGUUCUAUUUAAGCUGACAUUUUUCCUGAUCUGUCCUUUAACAUUUGUUCACUAAUAAUAUUUUUAUAUCACCUUUGCUUACAAGUGUAGCUCAAAUUGCUCUACAAAAAUAUACAGUUACAAAGAAAAUUGAAGGCAUUAUAAAAGUAAAUAAGAAGCAAAUGGAGGGAUCCUUGUCCUUUGUAAUAAAUACACUGCCUGGUCAAAUGGCCAGGAACAAAGACAAACUUGCAGCUUUCAAGGAUGCUGGAGAUAA
This is a long non-coding RNA of Erpetoichthys calabaricus (reedfish), 421 nucleotides long. RefSeq lists it as uncharacterized. NCBI's taxonomy places the organism in Eukaryota, Metazoa, Chordata, Cladistia, Polypteriformes, Polypteridae. The record is from RefSeq and is a predicted model, not a curated record. The transcript is spliced from 2 exons.